This 505-nucleotide ribosomal RNA is filed under the name uncultured bacterium. Its description in RNAcentral is "bacterial SSU rRNA". It matches the Rfam family "Bacterial small subunit ribosomal RNA", at positions 19 to 518 of the family's 1533-position model. The record is from RNAcentral.
AUGGCUCAGGAUGAACGCUGGCGGCGUGCUUAACACAUGCAAGUCGAACGGAGAUAUAUUGGAGAAGUUUCGGAUGGAACCGAUAUAUCUUAGUGGCGGACGGGUGAGUAACGCGUAAACAAUCUGCCUUAGAGAGGGGGAUAACAGAUAGAAAUAUUUGCUAAUACCGCAUAAGACCACAGAUAGGCAUCUAUUAGGGGUAAAAGGAGCAAUCCGCUUUAAGAUGAGUUUGCGUACUAUUAGCUAGUUGGUGAGGUAACGGCCCACCAAGGCGACGAUGGUUAGCCGGCCUGAGAGGGUGAACGGCCACAUUGGAACUGAGAUACGGUCCAGACUCCUACGGGAGGCAGCAGUGAGGAAUAUUGGGCAAUGGAGGAAAAACCUCUGACCCAGCAACGCCGCGUGAAGGAAGAAGGUUUUAGGAUUGUAAACUUCUGUUGUAAGGGAAAAAGAAAGUGAUGGUACCUUACGAGGAAGCUACGGCAAACUGUGUGCCAGCCGCCGC